This 293-nucleotide ribosomal RNA is filed under the name Candidatus Bathyarchaeota archaeon. RNAcentral's name for it is "partial 23S ribosomal RNA". It matches the Rfam family "Archaeal large subunit ribosomal RNA", at positions 2635 to 2929 of the family's 2987-position model. Lineage: Archaea; Thermoproteati; Candidatus Bathyarchaeota. The record is from RNAcentral.
CAAGGGUGGGGUUGUUCGCCCAUUAAAAGGGAUCGUGAACUGGGUUCAGACCGUCGUGAGACAGGUUUGUUGCUUUUCGCUGGAAGUGCAUUGGUGCCUGACGGGAAGGUCCCUCUAGUACGAGAGGAACGGGGGAUCGUCGCCGCUGGUCGAUCAGUUGUCCGACAGGGCAUUGCUGAGCAGCUACGCGAUGGAGGAUAAGAGCUGAACGCAUCUAAGCACGAAACCUCCCCGAAAAAGAGGCACCUUACGGUCGCCGAACAUGACGGCGUUGAUAGAGUCGGGAUGUAAGU